This is a non-coding RNA of Vicugna pacos (alpaca), 73 nucleotides long. The record is from RefSeq and is a predicted model, not a curated record. Lineage: Eukaryota; Metazoa; Chordata; Mammalia; Artiodactyla; Camelidae.
CCAGCACCUUGACCUCAGAAUGAUCAGGGCCAGAAGGUUGAUGAUUGAGAUUCGCGAAACAUCAUCCUGUUAC